RNAcentral lists this long non-coding RNA (1548 nucleotides) under Physcomitrium patens. RNAcentral describes it as "long non-coding RNA (PPAT_LNC009364)". The record is from RNAcentral. Lineage: Eukaryota; Viridiplantae; Streptophyta; Bryopsida; Funariales; Funariaceae.
AUUAUCAGAAAAAAUACAAUUGACAUAGAAGUUUUAAAGAAAAUGCUUAUGCCAAUAAAUAAUAAUAAUUUGAAAUCAAAAUGACUUAGAUAAAAUGAUUUUUAAAAUAAUAUAAAGUAGGACUACAUAAAUCCUUUAAUUUUGGUUUGUGAAAUAUUAUUACAACAUAUAUAUAUAUAUAUAUAUAUAUAUAUAUAUAAACACAAAUAUUUAAAUUGCAGAUCUACAAAAUAUUUUUGAUGUUACAAUAUUAUCUAAUAACUGUAGUUAUCAAGUUGGAGGAAAAAGAGCUGAUCAUUUUUUAAAAAGAGUUAAUAAAUAACGAAAAAUAUAUGUUUAUUGAAAUUUAUCAAAUUUCAUUUUUUUUUACAUAUCCAAAAUCUAAAAACUCAUCACAAACCAAAACCAUAGAUUGAGCUCACUAACAUUUACAAAACUUAUACAAAUAAUAGAAACAUGUAAAAUAAACUUGUAAGCUCAAGCAAUUCUUAUUAAAAUUUUUAGUUUCUAUUUUUAUUCCCCAAAAAAAAAAAAAAAAAAAAAAUCAUAAGUAAAAUUAAAAAAAAUAUUACAAGUUGAAGAACAAAAACACUGAGUUACAAUGGGGUGUUGCUAUUAUACUUCAUGUAACUUCCAUAUUAAUUAGUGCCUCAACAAGAGAUCCAAGGAAAGAGUGGGCAUUUAAUGUGGUCUUUUCCUUAACCUUUUUUGGGAAAAUAGUAUCCAUGGAGCUAUGGAUUGAUUUAAAUACCUUUAGAAUGAAGCAACUGAAGUUAAAUAGAUAAUUAUUUAAAAUGAUAUGUAUAAUUUUUUUUAUAUGUUCAGAAACUUACACGAGUGUAAUUUUUUAGAAUUGUUUAUCAAUCCAUUUUUAAAUUCAAAUUUAUCAAAAAUACACACACACACACACACACACACAUGUAUAUAUAUAUAUAUAUAUAUAUAAAACCAAAUAAAAAGUAUUUAUCAAACAUUGACUGCAAUUUCAUGUCAUAGUCUACAAAGCUUCCAAGAAGCAACACGCCAAUCUUUACAGUUGUAACAAAUAAUUAAACAAUUAUUCCUUUACUUUUAUUUUUUUUGGAUUCUGGAAAACAUACCACUCUUUUACAUUUGUAUAUCUUAUUAUUCAAAUGAUUACUUUCAGCAAUUCUUUUGAUAAAUUAUUAACAUUUCACAUAUUAAAGUUAUUGUAAAUUUCAUUAGUUCUUAUUGAUUCAAAUUCAUUUUUUAAUUUCUGAAGAAAACCAUUAACCUUUAAAAAAAAAAAAAAAAAAAAAAAAGGGUUUAAGAAAUUCACCCAAAGGAUUUAUGCAAGAAGCAUAUUUCAAAACCAAAACAAAAUUCUAGGCUUGUUUUACACAGCUUACAACAGGAUUUGUAAUCCAAAUGUAACAGUGUUGGAAGGAGUUCACUUGAGACACAUCAGUUCCUGAGCUGCACAUUUAGCAAAGAAUAUGCCACAGCUCACUCUACUUCGCCAUGUUUGUGUAGCUCGGCACUCAACUCGACAACACGCAUAACCACGAACCAGUAUCAACAACAACA